Molecule: long non-coding RNA, 1959 nt
Filed under: Nicotiana tabacum (common tobacco)
Lineage: Eukaryota; Viridiplantae; Streptophyta; Magnoliopsida; Solanales; Solanaceae
Description: long non-coding RNA (NTAB_LNC006140)
Source: RNAcentral
UUUUAGACAACUCAACUGAUGCAUUACUGUCUUCAUUCAACUAACUUUAGAAUUUGUAUUUCCAGUACAUGAGAUAAAAACUAAACUCUACUUCAAAUUUAUAAACUUAAACGAUUUCCAUAACUAAAAUCCACAUGUUGGUUUCCAGAACAACACAAACAAUAUGAAUAAAAAGAAACUGAUAUGAAGUAAUUCACAAACACCUAACAUAACUUAUAUCCGCAUCUCUAAUAACUUGACAAGGAAAUAAGGAAAACUAGAACUAUUUAAUUACAGAUGUUCCAUAUAUAGGUCGAUCAUCAUAAGGAGCAGACCUUAUUGAAGGCAUAGAAAUAAAGCUUAAAUCAUCUCAUUUUUUCAUUCAUUCUUGGGUCAAGGAUUACAACAUCAAUUGAGGAAUUUACCUGGAUAGCAGAAAAAAGUAUCAACAACGUGAACUGAGAUUCCAGCAACAAUGACAGUGAAACAAUAGCAAAUCAGCAGUACCAGCACCCAAGAAUACCCCAGAAAAAACACAGCAUGAAGCACUAGAAACUAGAAUCUAGUAACUCCGUAAAUUAUCCAAAAGAUCUUUCUAUUUUUUUGUGAAAGAUUUUACACUCAAAUAAUACUAACAAAGCUCUAAAAUUUCAGCUUGCUAUAUCUAUUAAGCUGUUGAUUUUUCUCAAAGAUGUGUCUUUUUUUUAGAGUGUAAAAGAUGAUCUCUCAAUAUAUGUAUGAUCGAUUCUCUAAAGUGAGGGAAAUGGUAGCCCUUAAAUAGGCCAAUAAAGUUAGAUUUUUUGGACAGAUUUUGGUUCACCAAAGUCUGUCCAAAAGACUGACUUUGUAUGCUAAACAUUGUUCAAAAGCUGUCCAAAAGGUGAAAGGACAGCCUGAAAAUCUGCUAUGUCAGAAGCAAGGAGAAAAAAUAUCAUUUCAGCCACUCUACUAUUAAAAAGUAGGCUACUAGUACCAUAUUUUAUGAUAAAAUAACCUAAACUUCAGCUCUUACAAUAUUACUACCAACCUAUGUGAUUCAAACCAAAUCAAACUAAAACAACUAAGAAUAGAAAAAACAGAAACAAGGCUUAAAAUGUAAUCAAACUAGGUAUUACACAAACUAAACUAAAACCAAUCGAAUUAUGAGAAUUAACAAUAGACGACUGAAAUUAGGAAACGCCCAAAACAGAACUUGGAUGAGCAUCGCUUAAUUAUCAGACAACGAUCAACAACGAGCUCUUAUACUAUGAACUAACAAGUUAUUCACAACUAAUAUUACCCUAGUUUAAUUAACCUAUAAAUACUACAAACAAAAUUAGGAGCAAAGAUUAAUCCCUAAAACUAAAUCUGAAGCACAAGCUGAAAAAUCAGAAACGGGAAAGGGGAGAUGGAUUGAAGAUUUACCGAAAACUCGAGCAACCAGGCAGCGGUGAAACAAAGGCAGUAGUGGUGAUUCCACCCGGGACAUGGUUUUAUUGUUGAUUGAUACCAAAAAUCCUAAAUCCGGUGAGCUGAAUUUCGAUGUUGGUAUAAUCGACAAUAAAAUCAUGUCUGAGUCUAUUGGAGGCAAAAACAGAAGAACACUAGAGGCAGCGGCGGCAUUAGACGGUCAUUAGUGACUUCGCCGAAAAAUAGUAGACGGAAUUCGGGGUCUAAACAAAUAGUAAAAGAUAGAGCAAAAGGUGUUCUAUCCAUCCACGUAUGUGUUAUAGGGUGGUGGUGGCCGGAACUUCACAAAUUCGAGAAAAAUGGUGGUGGCUAGGGUUUCCUAGAUUUGCAAAUUCGUGGAUUCUGAGGGGUUUUUGAAUGAUUUGGUUUGAAGAUAUGGAAAGAGGAGAUGUUGGAGAUUACAUGGUGAAAUUUGAGGGUGUUUAGACCAACCGCCGCGACGGCGGAUGGUGGCAGAGGAGGCGGACGAGAGAAAGUGAGGAGGGAGCUAGGGUUUGGUUAUAGAGUGAAAUGUAACAAUUUUCAGAUUUU